RNAcentral lists this ribosomal RNA (256 nucleotides) under uncultured bacterium. RNAcentral's name for it is "partial 16S ribosomal RNA". It matches the Rfam family "Bacterial small subunit ribosomal RNA", at positions 524 to 776 of the family's 1533-position model. The record is from RNAcentral.
GACGGGGGGGACGAGCGUUAUUCAUAAUUAUUGGGCGUAAAGGGCAAGUAGACGGUAUUGUAGAGUUAAAUAUGAAAGGCCAGAUGCAAAUGUGUUGAACAUAUUUAAAACGCAAUGACUAGAGUUAAGCAGAGGAUAGUAGUACUCCGAAUGGAGGGGUGAAAUCCAUAGAGAUUGUGGAGGACUUGCGAGCGGCGAAGGCGGCUAUCUGGGCGAUAACUGACGUUGAAGGGCGAAGGCAUAGGGAGCAAACAGG